UCCGUAGGUGAACCUGCGGAAGGAUCAUUAAAGAGUAAGGGUGCUCAGCGCCCGACCUCCAACCCUUUGUUGUUAAAACUACCUUGUUGCUUUGGCGGGACCGCUCGGUCUCGAGCCGCUGGGGAUUCGUCCCAGGCGAGCGCCCGCCAGAGUUAAACCAAACUCUUGUUAUUUAACCGGUCGUCUGAGUUAAAAUUUUGAAUAAAUCAAAACUUUCAACAACGGAUCUCUUGGUUCUCGCAUCGAUGAAGAACGCAGCGAAAUGCGAUAAGUAAUGUGAAUUGCAGAAUUCAGUGAAUCAUCGAAUCUUUGAACGCACAUUGCGCCCCUUGGUAUUCCGAGGGGCAUGCCUGUUCGAGCGUCAUUACACCACUCAAGCUAUGCUUGGUAUUGGGUGCCGUCCUUAGUUGGGCGCGCCUUAAAGACCUCGGCGAGGCCUCACCGGCUUUAGGCGUAGUAGAAUUUAUUCGAACGUCUGUCAAAGGAGAGGACUUCUGCCGACUGAAACCUUUAUUUUUCUAGGUUGACCUCGGAUCAGGUAGGGAUACCCGCUGAACUUAAGCAUAUCAAUAAGCGGAGGA
This 581-nucleotide ribosomal RNA is filed under the name Aureobasidium pullulans. Its description in RNAcentral is "eukaryotic LSU rRNA". The stretch from base 211 to 364 matches the Rfam family "5.8S ribosomal RNA". The record is from RNAcentral. Lineage: Eukaryota; Fungi; Ascomycota; Dothideomycetes; Dothideales; Saccotheciaceae.